AAAGAUCUCCCUGUCUUCUAUCUUCCAAUUCAUCACUCUUUCGAUGGGGUCGAGUCCCAAGAACCUCCACUCUAUUCUGGGUGCAGCAGGAGUCAAGGAUAAGAGAGUUUCCAUCCUGCCUAAAGAUGGUUUAACAAAUUUCACGCAAUCCAUCAUUUUCAAGAAGCAACAAACCAACGAACCCUUUUACGUACUUGAUUUAGGAGUAGUCGCUGCCCUCAUGGACAAAUGGACCCGUACCCUACCCAUGGUUCGACCCUUCUACGCCGUCAAAUGCAACCC
Molecule: long non-coding RNA, 282 nt
Filed under: Manihot esculenta (cassava)
Lineage: Eukaryota; Viridiplantae; Streptophyta; Magnoliopsida; Malpighiales; Euphorbiaceae
Description: long non-coding RNA (MESC_LNC010536)
Source: RNAcentral